RNAcentral lists this ribosomal RNA (445 nucleotides) under uncultured bacterium. RNAcentral describes it as "partial 16S ribosomal RNA". It matches the Rfam family "Bacterial small subunit ribosomal RNA", at positions 354 to 796 of the family's 1533-position model. The record is from RNAcentral.
GUGAGGAAUAUUGGUCAAUGGGCGGGAGCCUGAACCAGCCAAGUCGCGUGAAGGAAGAAGGAUCUAUGGUUCGUAAACUUCUUUUGCAGGGGAAUAAAGUGCAGGACGUGUCCUGUUGUGUAUGUACCCUGAGAAUAAGGAUCGGCUAACUCCGUGCCAGCAGCCGCGGUAAUACGGAGGAUCCGAGCGUUAUCCGGAUUUAUUGGGUUUAAAGGGUGCGUAGGUGGUUCGAUAAGUCAGCGGUGAAAGUCUGCAGCUUAACUGUAAAAAUGCCGUUGAAACUGUCGGACUUGAGUGUAAAUGAGGUAGGCGUAAUGCGUGGUGUAGCGGUGAAAUGCAUAGAUAUCACGCAGAACUCCGAUUGCGAAGGCAGCGUACUAAGCUACAACUGACACUGAAGCACGAAAGCGUGAGGAUCAAACAGGAUUAGAUACCCCGGUAGUCC